This 253-nucleotide ribosomal RNA is filed under the name uncultured bacterium. Its description in RNAcentral is "partial 16S ribosomal RNA". It matches the Rfam family "Bacterial small subunit ribosomal RNA", at positions 524 to 776 of the family's 1533-position model. The record is from RNAcentral.
UACAGAGGUCUCAAGCGUUGUUCGGAUUCAUUGGGCGUAAAGGGUGCGUAGGUGGUGAUGCAAGUCUGGUGUGAAAUCUCGGAGCUCAACUCCGAAAUUGCACCGGAUACUGCGUGACUCGAGGACUGGAGAGGAGACUGGAAUUCAUGGUGUAGCAGUGAAAUGCGUAGAGAUCAUGAGGAAGACCAGUGGCGAAGGCGGGUCUCUGGACAGUUCCUGACACUGAGGCACGAAGGCCAGGGGAGCAAACGGG